CAGCCGCCGCGGGAAUACGUAGGUCCCGAGCGUUGUCCGGAUUUAUUGGGCGUAAAGCGAGCGCAGGCGGUUAGAUAAGUCUGAAGUUAAAGGCUGUGGCUUAACCAUAGUACGCUUUGGAAACUGUUUAACUUGAGUGCAAGAGGGGAGAGUGGAAUUCCAUGUGUAGCGGUGAAAUGCGUUGAGAUCGGAAAGAACACCAACGGCGAAAGCACUCUGCUGGGCCGACGUUGACACUGAGAGACGAACGCUAGGGGAGAAAAUGGGAUUAGAUACCCCUGUAGUCCCUGUCUCUUAUGCA
Molecule: ribosomal RNA, 301 nt
Filed under: uncultured bacterium
Lineage: Bacteria
Description: partial 16S ribosomal RNA
Rfam family: Bacterial small subunit ribosomal RNA
Source: RNAcentral